This 423-nucleotide ribosomal RNA is filed under the name uncultured Ruminococcus sp. RNAcentral describes it as "bacterial SSU rRNA". It matches the Rfam family "Bacterial small subunit ribosomal RNA", at positions 355 to 794 of the family's 1533-position model. Lineage: Bacteria; Bacillati; Bacillota; Clostridia; Eubacteriales; Oscillospiraceae. The record is from RNAcentral.
UGGGGAAUAUUGGGCAAUGGGCGAAAGCCUGACCCAGCGACGCCGCGUGAGGGAAGAAGGUUUUCGGAUUGUAAACUCCUGUCGUAAGGGAAGAGGAAGGACUGUACCUUACAAGAAAGCUCCGGCUAACUACGUGCCAGCAGCCGCGGUAAUACGUAGGGAGCGAGCGUUGUCCGGAAUGACUGGGUGUAAAGGGAGCGUAGGCGGGAUGGCAAGUCAGAUGUGAAACCUGAGGGCUCAACCUUCAGACUGCAUUUGAAGCUGCUGUUCUUGAGUGAAGUAGAGGUAAGCGGAAUUCCUGGUGUAGCGGUGAAAUGCGUAGAGAUCAGGAGGAACAUCGGUGGCGAAGGCGGCUUACUGGGCUUUUACUGACGCUGAGGCUCGAAAGCGUGGGGAGCAAACAGGAUUAGAUACCCUGGUAGU